CACACUUAGCUUAGCUACGGUUCUAGAGUGACUCAGCUGCUCUUGCCGGCCAACAGCUAGCUUUCGACAAAGUUCCAUCGAAAACCCGAGACAAUCUCAUCCUCUAAUGGUUUUAUUAGUUACAUACUUAUUAGUUGAAGUAAAGGAGAGUCUCUCAUCAUCAGUGUUGUGUCCACCAACCGUUUUCAAACCUGCUGUUUAGGGUCCCCCUUCAUUGGUUCAUAUCCUGAUUUUAGUAUAUUCUUAGGAAUAUCAGUUUCAGGAUCUCAAGUGAAGCAUCUUUAUAGGUUUAUUCGUCCCUUUAACAUUUCUAUCGCCCUUAUUGUUGUAAUCUUAGUUUAUUGACUAGCAGUUGAGUGUACCUCCGGUUGUAAUCGUUUUAAAUCCGUUCGGUAUUUAGUUUAAAAUGUCUUUCGUGACCAAAAAGUAUUUAGUUUAAAAUGUCUUUCGUGACCCAAAAAAAGGCAGAGCACACCACCACCAAAUAACCCCUUUUCUUCAGGCAGAAAAAUAGAUGAGUGUUUCAAGUUUUAUGCCUUGUCGCUCAUAACUGUUGAUGUAGCAUUGUGAAUUAAUGAUAUGAGUUUGUAUGUGAGGUACAGUGUAUGCACGGACCUAAGUGUAAGCUGCAAAGUUGGAAGAAGAAUACAGGAAGUAAACGUUAUGGGUGGCCUCAUUCUUCCCAUCUGGGGAUCCAUUGAGAAAGCUCUUUCCAAACAAGCACGUCAAAGCCACAAGAGAAUUCGAGUUAUACGCACAGAAACUACUGCUGAUAAUCAGCGAAUAGUAUAGGCCUCUCUAUCCCUCCCUAAUGGCUGUCGAAACUGUAUUACAAGGUUUAGACCAAAAGCAGUACUUCUUGUCCUAUUUGUACAAAAUCAGGAAGUAAAAAAAUUAUUUUCAGAAAUCAUAGUUUCCAGAAAUUAUAUUUGAGGAUUUUAAU
Molecule: long non-coding RNA, 943 nt
Organism: Raphanus sativus (radish)
Lineage: Eukaryota; Viridiplantae; Streptophyta; Magnoliopsida; Brassicales; Brassicaceae
Exons: 3
Source: RefSeq, a predicted model, not a curated record